CUUGUCUCUCUUGGUUUUGUUGUUUGGGUUUAGCUUUACAGAGAACGCUGGCUGCUGGUCCUGCGAACCUGUGGGAGGGGCCUGGUCAGGGACCUGAGUGUAAGUCAUGCUCACUCAGGUAUGUAUCAGCUCGAGAGGAGUGUACUCAGAAGCAAAGUGCCUGUCAUGUUCUUGACGUGCUUUUCUUCUGGAAGACCAAACCGAAGGACUGAAGAGCUCAUGAGCAACCUAGACUUCUUCUAAGAUCUAUUCUGUGUUGACGCUUUUCAAAAUAGCUAUGUAUUCUUUUUUGUGUUAUUUGUUCCUCUCAGGUUGGUUUUAAAAUGUAUCCUCUACUGUUAAGGUUUCAGUUGUUAGCACUGAAAUAUUUCACUGUGUGUUGAGGUAUUGUGGCCCCACCUUAAUUACAGGCCACACCUUUUGCUUACUCCAAACCCUGUGAGAAACUGUUUCUUUUUCUGGGCUGGGACAAUGCAUAGGAUCUGUAUUCUUUCAUAUCCUUCAUACCUUUUGCGAGUGCUAGGCUGAUACGGUGUCAGGUGCUGUUAGUGCGUAAGUAUUCGCUGGAAAACUUGUGACUGCAGCCCGAGGUAAGGCUGUCAGUCAUGGAAGCAUCCUGAUGUGGGCCUGCAAGGAGGGUCCUGUGGCCCUGGAUGAAGGCAAGCACGCAGAGCAGCCUCCUGCAAAGUGUCAGCCACCUCACAGCAACCUGAGGAGCGAAGAGGACACAGCCUGCUCCCCUGGAAGAGGCACACAAGGCGGAGCUGCGCUCCCUCUGCAUAGAGACGGGCGCCGGGCGCCGCCGCCGCCGCCUCCCUGCAGUCCUCAC
Long non-coding RNA from Gallus gallus (chicken), 829 nucleotides. Lineage: Eukaryota; Metazoa; Chordata; Aves; Galliformes; Phasianidae. The record is from Ensembl.